Molecule: ribosomal RNA, 203 nt
Filed under: uncultured bacterium
Lineage: Bacteria
Description: partial 16S ribosomal RNA
Rfam family: Bacterial small subunit ribosomal RNA
Source: RNAcentral
GACGAACCGUGCGAACGUUGUUCGGAUUCACUGGGCUUAAAGGGCGCGUAGGCGGGCUUGCCAGUCAGGGUGAAAUCCUCCGGCUCAACCGGAGCAGGGCCUUUGAUACUGCAAGUCUUGAGGGAGGCAGGGGCAUGUGGGAACUUCCGGUGGAGCGGUGAAAUGCGUAGAUAAUCGGAAGGAACGCCGGUGGCGAAAGCGAC